This 91-nucleotide ribosomal RNA is filed under the name Tidjanibacter sp. Its description in RNAcentral is "partial 16S ribosomal RNA". It matches the Rfam family "Bacterial small subunit ribosomal RNA", at positions 1 to 91 of the family's 1533-position model. Lineage: Bacteria; Pseudomonadati; Bacteroidota; Bacteroidia; Bacteroidales; Rikenellaceae. The record is from RNAcentral.
ACAAUGGAGAGUUUGAUCCUGGCUCAGGAUGAACGCUAGCGGCAGGCCUAACACAUGCAAGUCGAGGGGCAGCACGUUAAAGAGUUUACUC